This 550-nucleotide non-coding RNA is filed under the name Cladosporium cladosporioides. Its description in RNAcentral is "eukaryotic LSU rRNA". The stretch from base 186 to 339 matches the Rfam family "5.8S ribosomal RNA". RNAcentral also lists the same sequence under 6 other names. Lineage: Eukaryota; Fungi; Ascomycota; Dothideomycetes; Cladosporiales; Cladosporiaceae. The record is from RNAcentral.
UCCGUAGGUGAACCUGCGGAGGGAUCAUUACAAGAACGCCCGGGCUUCGGCCUGGUUAUUCAUAACCCUUUGUUGUCCGACUCUGUUGCCUCCGGGGCGACCCUGCCUUCGGGCGGGGGCUCCGGGUGGACACUUCAAACUCUUGCGUAACUUUGCAGUCUGAGUAAACUUAAUUAAUAAAUUAAAACUUUUAACAACGGAUCUCUUGGUUCUGGCAUCGAUGAAGAACGCAGCGAAAUGCGAUAAGUAAUGUGAAUUGCAGAAUUCAGUGAAUCAUCGAAUCUUUGAACGCACAUUGCGCCCCCUGGUAUUCCGGGGGGCAUGCCUGUUCGAGCGUCAUUUCACCACUCAAGCCUCGCUUGGUAUUGGGCAACGCGGUCCGCCGCGUGCCUCAAAUCGUCCGGCUGGGUCUUCUGUCCCCUAAGCGUUGUGGAAACUAUUCGCUAAAGGGUGUUCGGGAGGCUACGCCGUAAAACAACCCCAUUUCUAAGGUUGACCUCGGAUCAGGUAGGGAUACCCGCUGAACUUAAGCAUAUCAAUAAGCGGAGGA